ACGAACGCUGGCGGCGUGCUUAACACAUGCAAGUCGAACGGAAAGGCCCUGCUUUUGUGGGGUGCUCGAGUGGCGAACGGGUGAGUAACACGUGAGUAACCUGCCCUUGACUUUGGGAUAACUUCAGGAAACUGGGGCUAAUACCGGAUAGGAGCUCCUGCUGCAUGGUGGGGGUUGGAAAGUUUCGGCGGUUGGGGAUGGACUCGCGGCUUAUCAGCUUGUUGGUGGGGUAGUGGCUUACCAAGGCUUUGACGGGUAGCCGGCCUGAGAGGGUGACCGGCCACAUUGGGACUGAGAUACGGCCCAGACUCCUACGGGAGGCAGCAGUGGGGAAUAUGGCACAAUGGGCGGAAGCCUGAUGCAGCAACGCCGCGUGCGGGAUGACGGCCUUCGGGUUGUAAACCGCUUUCGCCUGUGACGAAGCGUGAGUGACGGUAAUGGGUAAAGAAGCACCGGCUAACUACGU
RNAcentral lists this ribosomal RNA (466 nucleotides) under uncultured bacterium. RNAcentral's name for it is "partial 16S ribosomal RNA". It matches the Rfam family "Bacterial small subunit ribosomal RNA", at positions 29 to 506 of the family's 1533-position model. The record is from RNAcentral.